This 1879-nucleotide long non-coding RNA is filed under the name Homo sapiens (human). RNAcentral describes it as "non-protein coding lnc-TBC1D2B-8:2". Lineage: Eukaryota; Metazoa; Chordata; Mammalia; Primates; Hominidae. The record is from RNAcentral.
GAACAGGUCACUCCCGAGAUGUGACCCCAUUAUUUUGGCUCCAGAGCAGCUUUACGGACCUCCCGAAGGAGAAGGCAGAUGGGACGGAGCAGGUGGAGAGACGAGAGCUUGGAUUCGUCCAGCCUUCUGGAGUGACAGAUGGCAUGAGAGAGUCCUUCACCGUAUAUGAAAGCCAGGGGGCAGUGCCAAACACGUGGCACCAGGAGAUGGAAGAUGUCAUCAGGCUGGCCCAGAAGGAGGAGGAGAUGAAGGUAGGGCAUGCAACAUCUCUGUGGGGGUGGGGGUGGGCAUGGGCGCUGGCGCAGGCUCCAGGGUGGGAGCUGAUCACCCUCCCUUCAGGUGAAUCUGCUGGAGCUGCAAGAGCUGGUGUUGCCCCUUGUGGGCAACCAUGAGGGGCAUGGCAAAUUCCUCACCGCUGCCCAGAACCCUGCUGAUGAGCCCACUCCAGGGCCCCCAGCCCCCCAGGAACUGGGGGCUGCCGGUGAGCAGGAUGAUUUUUAUGAAGUGAGCCUGGACAACAAUGUGGAGCCUGCACCAGGAGCGGCCAGGGAGGGUUCUCCCCAUGACAACCCCACUGCACAGCAGAUCGUGCAGCUGUCUCCUGUAAUGCAGGACACCUAGGAGCACCCAGGCUUGCCCAGCAAACCCUGCGUGCCAUUCUUUUACCAGGCAGCCGAGAACAGGGAGAUAAACAUCAUCAUCUUCUAAGAGCUGGUCAAGAAAUUUAAAACAACAACAACAACAAAAAGUUACAGGGUUCAUCUCCUACACAAUUCAUUUACUCCAUUUGAAUGCUAGAGCCACUCACAUUUAUUUGUGUUUCUAAUUUACCGUUUAAAUUUAUUUGUAAAAAGUUAAGGGAGAGUUGGUCUUUCCCUGAUGUUCUUUCUGGCAUCCUUUAGCAUUUUUAUUUUUUACUUGAUAAUUGUAGGUCAUUAGCACGCAUAUCGAGUUUGCCCUUAGGUGGUGGGAAUUCAUACACACAAAGACCCACUAUUUGCACAAAACUAUUCUUGCUGGUUUGGAACAGGCUGCCAUGCUUUUUAAAUGUUAUUGCAGCACAUAUAUUCAUUACAGAAUUCAGAUAAAAUGUGCUUAUGUUCUGCUAUUACGUUUGAUUGAAUCCUAACCACAGUGAGCUCUUCAUUAGCUCAAUAUGUGGUUUGCCCUCAAGUGCGCACUGUUUAUUACUUUGUAAUAUGCCACUGUGAGUACUGACAUUUAGAGUUGUUUAAAGGCCGAGAACUGGAAACAGCCUUUCCCCUAUUUUCUGUGUAUUGGGGAUGGGAGUCAUAACAUUUUGGGGAGCUUUUUAAAUCUCACAGAAGAGGAAAGUGGCCUGCUCUGGCAGGUGUGUGCAGGAUACAGUGUGUUUCAUUUGUUCUGGUGCCAAGAAUGAGCACUGUACUAUGGUAGUUCCCUUAGGAUUUGUGUGUGCUCUGGGCUUAUGAAGAUAUUGCAUCAUGAGCUGCAGCAGUUGUACCCUUUCUCGAUGACCUAAAAAGGGAUUAUUUCUGAGGAAUGAAAGGCUCCCAUCAUUGACUGUGGAUGUGGAAAACCUUUUCUAGCGUAGAGCAUUUAUAUCUACAAUACAUUUUAAAGUCAGAGUUCAUGUUACCUGUUUUAAUCACAUGAGUAUAUGUCCCAGUACACAAAAGGGCACCGGUUGGCAUUCUUCUUAAGGUAUUUAGUGAAGAUCAUAAGAAAUCCUUUAAGAGUUUAAAUGUCCCUGGAAGAGGCAUACGGGCGCUAGUCAAGAAUGAAUUCGAGUGAAGGAAAGCUGUGUGACACCUGGCCUUCCUCUAUGUUCAUGGAGCUUCUUUGAGGCUAGAAGAUUGAUUUUAUCAUCUAGACCUCUCUGGCUAAUACCUAUUCUUCA